GACGAACGCUGGCGGCGUGCUUAACACAUGCAAGUCGAACGGAAAGGCCCUGCUUUUGUGGGGUGCUCGAGUGGCGAACGGGUGAGUAACACGUGAGUAACCUGCCCUUGACUUUGGGAUAACUUCAGGAAACUGGGGCUAAUACCGGAUAGGAGCUCCUGCUGCAUGGUGGGGGUUGGAAAGUUUCGGCGGUUGGGGAUGGACUCGCGGCUUAUCAGCUUGUUGGUGGGGUAGUGGCUUACCAAGGCUUUGACGGGUAGCCGGCCUGAGAGGGUGACCGGCCACAUUGGGACUGGGAUACGGCCCAGACUCCUACGGGAGGCAGCAGUGGGGUAUAUUGCACAAUGGGCGGAAGCCUGAUGCAGUAACGCCGCGUGCGGGAUGUCGGCCUUCGGGUUGUAAACCGCUUUCGCCUGUGACGAAGCGUGAGUGACGGUAAUGGGUAAAGAAGCACCGGCUAACUACGUG
This 468-nucleotide ribosomal RNA is filed under the name uncultured bacterium. RNAcentral's name for it is "partial 16S ribosomal RNA". It matches the Rfam family "Bacterial small subunit ribosomal RNA", at positions 28 to 507 of the family's 1533-position model. The record is from RNAcentral.